RNAcentral lists this ribosomal RNA (1473 nucleotides) under uncultured bacterium. Its description in RNAcentral is "partial 16S ribosomal RNA". It matches the Rfam family "Bacterial small subunit ribosomal RNA". The record is from RNAcentral.
AGAGUUUGAUCCUGGCUCAGGACGAACGCUGGCGGCGUGCUUAACACAUGCAAGUCGAGCGGUAAGGCCUUUCGGGGUACACGAGCGGCGAACGGGUGAGUAACACGUGGGUGAUCUGCCCUGCACUCUGGGAUAAGCUUGGGAAACUGGGUCUAAUACCGGAUAUGACCUCAUGCCGCAUGGUGUGUGGUGGAAAGAUUUAUCGGUGCAGGAUGGGCCCGCGGCCUAUCAGCUUGUUGGUGGGGUAAUGGCCUACCAAGGCGACGACGGGUAGCCGACCUGAGAGGGUGACCGGCCACACUGGGACUGAGACACGGCCCAGACUCCUACGGGAGGCAGCAGUGGGGAAUAUUGCACAAUGGGCGGAAGCCUGAUGCAGCGACGCCGCGUGAGGGAUGAAGGCCUUCGGGUUGUAAACCUCUUUCAGCAGGGACGAAGCGUGAGUGACGGUACCUGCAGAAGAAGCACCGGCUAACUACGUGCCAGCAGCCGCGGUAAUACGUAGGGUGCGAGCGUUGUCCGGAAUUACUGGGCGUAAAGAGAGCGUAGGCGGACAUUUAAGUCAGGGGUGAAAUCCCGGGGCUCAACCUCGGAAUUGCCUUUGAUACUGGGUGUCUUGAGUGUGAGAGAGGUAUGUGGAACUCCGAGUGUAGAGGUGAAAUUCGUAGAUAUUCGGAAGAACACCAGUGGCGAAGGCGACAUACUGGCUCAUUACUGACGCUGAGGCUCGAAAGCGUGGGGAGCAAACAGGAUUAGAUACCCUGGUAGUCCACGCCCUAAACGAUGAACACUCGAUGUUGGCGAUAUACGGUCAGCGUCUAAGCGAAAGCGUUAAGUGUUCCACCUGGGGAGCACGCCCGCAAGGGUGAAACUCAAAGGAAUUGACGGGGGCCCGCACAAGCGGAGGAGCAUGUGGUUUAAUUCGAUGAUACGCGAGGAACCUUACCCGGGCUUGAAAGUUAGUGAAUGUGACAGAGACGUCACAGUCCUUCGGGACACGAAACUAGGUGCUGCAUGGCUGUCGUCAGCUCGUGUCGUGAGAUGUUGGGUUAAGUCCCGCAACGAGCGCAACCCUCGUUCUAUGUUGCCAGCACGUAAUGGUGGGAACUCAUGGGAUACUGCCGGGGUCAACUCGGAGGAAGGUGGGGAUGACGUCAAAUCAUCAUGCCCCUUAUGUCUUGGGCUUCACGCAUGCUACAAUGGCCGGUACAAAGGGCUGCAAUACCGUGAGGUGGAGCGAAUCCCAAAAAGCCGGUCCCAGUUCGGAUUGAGGUCUGCAACUCGACCUCAUGAAGUCGGAGUCGCUAGUAAUCGCAGAUCAGCAACGCUGCGGUGAAUACGUUCCCGGGUCUUGUACACACCGCCCGUCAAGUCAUGAAAGUCGGUAACACCUGAAGCCGGUGACCCAACCCUUGUGGAGGGAGCCGUCGAAGGUGGGAUCGGUAAUUAGGACUAAGUCGUAACAAGGUAACC